GAGUGAGCGGCAAAAGCUCAAAUUUGAAAUCUGGCACCUUCGGUGUCCGAGUUGUAAUUUGAAGAUUGUAACCUUGGGGUUGGCUCUUGUCUAUGUUUCUUGGAACAGGACGUCACAGAGGGUGAGAAUCCCGUGCGAUGAGAUGCCCAAUCCUAUGUAAGGUGCUUUCGAAGAGUCGAGUUGUUUGGGAAUGCAGCUCUAAGUGGGUGGUAAAUUCCAUCUAAAGCUAAAUAUUGGCGAGAGACCGAUAGCGAACAAGUACAGUGAUGGAAAGAUGAAAAGAACUUUGAAAAGAGAGUGAAAAAGUACGUGAAAUUGUUGAAAGGGAAGGGUUUGAGAUCAGACUCGAUAUUUUGUGAGCCUUGCCUUCGUGGCGGGGUGACCCGCAGCUUAUCGGGCCAGCAUCGGUUUGGGCGGUAGGAUAAUGGCGUAGGAAUGUGACUUUACUUCGGUGAAGUGUUAUAGCCUGCGUUGAUGCUGCCUGCCUAGACCGAGGACUGCGAUUUUAUCAAGGAUGCUGGCAUAAUGAUCCCAAACCGCCCGUCUUGAAACACGGACCAAAA
RNAcentral lists this ribosomal RNA (563 nucleotides) under Meyerozyma caribbica. RNAcentral describes it as "eukaryotic LSU rRNA". It matches the Rfam family "Eukaryotic large subunit ribosomal RNA", at positions 91 to 671 of the family's 3401-position model. The record is from RNAcentral. Lineage: Eukaryota; Fungi; Ascomycota; Pichiomycetes; Serinales; Debaryomycetaceae.